AGUUUUAAAGAUCUAAGCAUACAGAGCGACAGUGACGCAUUUUGUCUCCUCAACAGCUAGUGUAACUAUCUUUGGAUCGUUUGCUUUAUUGUCGACAAAGUUUACAAGGAGCUGAGCUGGGUGGUUAGCUGCAUUCUUCUUUUUGCGACGUCGGUUAGACUCGGUAACAGUCGAUAGAGCUCUCAUGCCAUCUGACGAGGAAGAAGUCUGAUGAUGGAAGUACUUAAAAUUCUUGCGAAUUCCACAGCGGCAUCCACUUAGAGCGCUCUCGCGUCUGAAGAAAUAUUUUUAUUUAAUAUUUUGAAAUGUAUAAUAUGCAAAAAGGGGAUGUCCAUAGAUUAUAUAACACAUAUAACACAAGUUAAUGGAAUCUCCGAAAUGUGAUUUUGUGUGACAAGAGAUGGAAAGGAGCCAAAAAUUUUUAAAAAUUUAUGAACAAUAAACCUUAAUCAUUAAA
Melitaea cinxia (Glanville fritillary) is the source of this 457-nucleotide long non-coding RNA. RefSeq lists it as uncharacterized. NCBI's taxonomy places the organism in Eukaryota, Metazoa, Arthropoda, Insecta, Lepidoptera, Nymphalidae. The record is from RefSeq and is a predicted model, not a curated record. The transcript has 2 exons.